RNAcentral lists this long non-coding RNA (110 nucleotides) under Dermacentor andersoni. RNAcentral describes it as "uncharacterized LOC126521337". Lineage: Eukaryota; Metazoa; Arthropoda; Arachnida; Ixodida; Ixodidae. The record is from RNAcentral.
AAAGAAUACCACUGAUCACAGCACCAACACAGAACCACCAGAAUCAGAAAAAACUUGGUCAGAGUCUGUGACACCCGAGAAACCUACUUUAGAAACUUGGUCAGAGUCUG